Cercocebus atys (sooty mangabey) is the source of this 7196-nucleotide long non-coding RNA. RefSeq lists it as uncharacterized. The record is from RefSeq and is a predicted model, not a curated record. NCBI's taxonomy places the organism in Eukaryota, Metazoa, Chordata, Mammalia, Primates, Cercopithecidae. The transcript has 2 exons.
UAUUAAAAAUUAAUUAAAAUGUAAUUACACUAAUAAAAAUAUGUGUCACAUUUUCAAAGCUAUUUUCACAUGUAACCAAACAUAAAUAUAGAGAGAACAAUAUUUACAUGAUAGCUCAACAUGGUAGGUUAUCAAAUUUAAUAAUUGAAUGAGUUAGAUUGUACAACCUCUCAUAAAAAUAGGAAGCACAUUCAAUAACAGGUAUUCCAAGGAUAUAUUUUUACAGGAGUUAAAAUCUAAAAUAGCAGAGGAAACCUAUGGCAGAUACGGAAUACUACAUGACAUGCUACCUUAGUAUUUUAGGGCUCAAAUGUUGCAUUCCAUCUCUUUCCCAUAAUACAAAGGACUAUAAAAGAAGGGAAAAAUGCUAUCUUGCAAUUCUACAAAGAUUAAAAAUAGUGUAUUCCCACCUACCAAAUUGCUAUUCCUUAUUAGGAUGAAUGUACCAUUCAAAUUAUAGUCAAUCUCAUAGAAAUCAAGAAAGGUAUGAUUUUUAUUAUUUUCUAAAGCUACUGAAGUUCAGAUAGCAAUUUAUCACAACAGCUUAAUAAUACUGAUGAAGAAGAAAAGAGCUCCAUUGACCAAGGUAAAGCAUUAACUGUCAAAACUCCAUAUUAAUUUAUCUCCCCAUACAACAUCCUAGGUCUUUGUUUGGUAUCAUUCCUCUGAGGUGCAAAUAUUUAUUUUUCCUGUGUUAGUUUGUUGUUAAAUACAUUUUACUAUUGCAAUUUUAACUAAAAAUGCUUAUUAUAAAAAAAAAAGGUGUAAGGAAGUAUAAAGUGGUCCUAACAUUUUAAUUUUCACAAUCAAAAUGUUUUUAAGACAAAUAUUUUAAAAUAAAUACAAAUAUCUCUACAAAGUGAAUCUGCUGAGACCACUAAGCUUUGUCAAAUAGACUACCAGUUCAGACUUACUCAAAAUACUUUUAAUCCCUAGUCCAAGCAACUAAAAAUUUCACAACAUCAAAUGAAUUUAAUUCAUGGUUUACAUUAACAAAUAUAAGCAAAAUAGGUUAAUAAAAUUAAGCAAUGAACAAUGUAGAUUAACACUACUUUAAAAAUAUAUGGUGAAAACAAUAAGCCAUUUAAAAAAAAAUCUGUAUUCUAACUCUUUCUCUCAUGACUGAAAUUAACUGAAAACAUGUGAUUGCACUUAACACAUUCAAUCAUCAAUUUUCUACUGAACACCCUGUCCUAUAUGCCAGGUACUAGGCUAAACAUUCAGGAGACCGCAAGUGGUAAAAGACUGGUCCUGUUCAUAAGUAAUUCACGGGUAAAUGCAAUUAGCUAUAAGCCGUGACAAGAGACGUACUAGAGAAAUAAACAAAAUACUAUAGAACAGAAAAGAAAAGACUGAUUUUGACUGAAGAGAAAGACUAAUGCAAAGCUUCAGGGAAAAUGAUAGAUGAGCUGAACCCUAAAGGUAAGUAGGAAUUUCCCAGGGAAAGCGGUAGUGGAAAAGGAGAAAAGGUUACUCCAAGCAAAAGGAAAAACAUUAAACAAAGGCCAGGAGUGAAAGUGUACAGGAAAGUGAAAGAGCGAUGAAAGGUUCAAGGAGCAACAUGGGUAGGUAAAAGCAGUAAAACAUGGGUAAAACAUGGGUAGGUAAAAGCAGUAAAACAUGGGUAGGUAAAAGCAGUAAAACAUGGGUAAAACAUGGGUAGGUAAAAGCAGUAUGGCUAAGUUGAGCUUUGAGACUAACAUUUAAGCAGUAAGAAAAGAAAGCAUCAUCAAUGAAAAAGAAAGGAUUGAGAGAGAACAAUCAACAAAGUGGGAUGAGAAACAGAGAAACAAGAGUAAGUAUAAUCAGACAACCAAAAGGAAAGUGUUAUAUGCCACAGAGAUCAUAUGUUUGCAGACCUAUUAAGAGUAGAGCAUUUAAUUCUGGUUCCAUACUGUGGGGAAAAUGUUAAGUUGUCAGAGUUGCUGGAAAAUGUCAGAAGUAAUUUCCAUCCCAAGUUGUUUUCUACCUCCAAUAAAGAAAAAAAUUAAAAAGAGACUCAUACUGCACCUUUUAAAAUCUAAAUGCUUUUUAAAUGCUUUUUAAUCAUACGACUUGCAUGAGAAUCACUGUAGCUGUGUGAUUAAAGAAUUCUCUCAUUGUUUUGCUCUUUUAUUUUUACGUUGAGUUCUAUUUUGUGUUUGCUUUUAUGUUUAUUUAUAUAAAUUUAUGGGAUUCAUGUGAAAUUUUGUUACAUGCAUAUACUUAGUAGUGAUCAAUUUAGUGUAUUUAGGGUGUCCAUCACCCAAAUAUAGUACAUUUUUAUUAACUAUAGUCAUUCUACUUUGCUAUCAAACACUGAAUUUAUUCCUUCUGUAGAAAAGCUUCAUUGUUAAAAAUAACUGAAGUGUGAUCUUUCCAUCAACUAUAACUAAUAAUGAUGUUUUCAAGCUUUUUGUAGAUAACAUAACAGAAGAUUGCACUAAAAAGGGCAGUCUUUGAAAUCAGAAACUCUGGGUUAAAGGAAUCACUUUGCACAGAAUAAGCAAAAUUUUAAGUCAGUCAGUCACUCAAUUCUCUAAGUUCUGAAUUCUUCAAAUGCGAAACAGAAAUAUUAGCCAUACCUAUGUCAAAGGUUCUAUGAGAAUCCAGUGAAAGAAUGUACACAAAAAAUGUUUUGUAAAUAUUAAUAGCAAAGGACCUAUGAGCCAACCAUUAACACUAGUGAGUUACAAUGUAACUUUUGUAUCAGCACACCCUCAGGAAGAAGAAAUGAGAGAAAAGGCAAGUACUUCUGUUACAAGCUUCCAAAUUAAAUAUGUAAUGGCUCAAUCUCUCAUCCUGUAAUUACUACUGCUCUUACUAGAGUAGAAAACCAGAAGGAACAAGGAGGUAUCUCAUAAGAUGAAGGAAUCAAUCACCCUCCUAUAAUAUAUGUCAGUUUCAUAGCUAUUUAUGUAUCAACACUACCAUGCCACACAAAAUUAUGUGGAAGAAGAAAAAAAUGUAGGUAGGGAGAAAAAGAGGGGAUCUUAUUUUGGGCUGUUAACAUGUCUACCUUCUUUCCCAGUGAGAAAAAUGUCUACAAAGAAAGUAUUAGAAGGACUACAGCUCACAUUGCACCCACUAUAAUAUUAAAAGCUCUUUAAGGUGCUCAAGCUAACCUCUUAAUGCAAGCAGAAGUUUAUCCAGUAUUAACCAACUGGUUCAAAGUCAAAGACAACAGAAUUAAGACUUAUUUAGGCUUAAGAAUAUUAAUUAAUCUGGAGGUUUGAAUAUGCCAAAGUGUUAUUAAUGUCACAUUUUAGACAGGUUCAGGAAGAACAUUUCCACAGUGCAUUAAUUUGAUGCACUAUUCUUCGCUAGCUUAAUUUAAAAAUUAUCUUUAUAGAGAAAUUCUCAAAGUCCUAAAAAUCUUGCGGCUAUAUUACGCAAGAGAGCCGCCCCCCACCGCCCUUAGCUUUGCCCAAAUAACACCUGAUUUGGCAUAUUUCCUUGAUGAAGGCAAGUCAAAAGCUUGUUGGGAAAAAGCAACUCAUAAAAUGAGAGUCAUUUAUGAAACACAAUUCUACAAAUAUUGUUAACAUUGCUGUAAUUAAGAAUUCUAAAGAAAAAAUGAAAAAUUAAAAGAAAUAUACUACUACCCAAAUAUUAUUUCAAUUGUUUUGUAUCUUGGCACUGAUCUUAAUGUUACAAUGCAUCAUAGUGUGACUAAAGAAUCACUACUUAUUAAAAACAAACAUCCAUAACAUCCAAUAAAUUUAAUUUUUACAACCUGUAAUUUUACCACAAACCAAAUUGGCUCAGUGUCUCACUUUGACAAAACAAAGUUUUAAGGCAAUAAUAUUAAUGUCAAUUCAUGAACAUAUCUGAUCAACCAGAAUAACAAAAUAAUUGUUUUAAAGCAAAAAAAAAAAAAAAAAUUGAGACUUUUGUUUAACCAGGUAUAUACUAAACAAUGUUCCCAACAUUUUAAUCAAUCUAUGUAGUAACCAAGAAAUCACACCACUGAAUGCGUAAAAGAACACUUUAUUUAUACACACAUGUGGGAAGACACAAAGCCACUUCCUGAUCAAAAGCAUUUUUAUUUUAAAUUGCAUUUACAUGUUGAUUAGAGGAAAUCUACUUGCUAAUCAUUUCAUAACUAAAUUUUUGAAAACCAGGCAAUUUAAAACAAUCACACUUAUUUCUUCAUGAAUUUUUUUAAUGUGGCAGUUAUACAUUUCUAGAGCACUAAAUGUUUAUACUUUACUGAAGCUGACCAGGUAAUUUCAAUACAUUUCAGAAUGACAGUUUACACCGCAUGUUAUGGAACAAAUAAGUAGCAUAUUUCCACAUUAGACAUUUUUACAGACUACUUUCAAUUUCUUAAAAUUAAUUGUAGGUCCAGGUGCUGAAAAUCCCAAAUAACAGCAGAAUAUAAAAGAAAAUAUUUUAAAUUUCUAAUGGCACCUUUCUUUCCAGUAUUUCAGAAAACAUAGCCAACAAAUGAAAUUGUGGUUUUACCUCCACCCAAGAUUCUCCUUCCAAUGCUUACCAUCCAUUCUUGCUUUGAGCAGUGACAAAGCAUACAAUACACUGCUUCCAUCAUAUGACUCAGAGAGCCCUAUCUGAAACAGCCUACAGAGUGUCAGGUAAGCGCCUUUUAAAGGAAGAUAAAUGACUAUGAUUUGUAGAAGGAAAGAAGAAGAUAAGAACUCAAUGUAAAAUUUUAUAUUAAAAAAUUUUAACUUUCUAAAUGACAUUAUAUACCAGGAAAAACAAAACAAAAUUCAAAAAAAAAAGGCACUUACCUCACUUCCCAUAGACUGGUUACACGAUCCAGCUGGGUCGAUAGGACAACACCAGCUUAGUGGAUGCUGGGAUUUCACCUGGAACAGAAACUAGUGACCUAUAACUUUAGCAGGUCUAAACCAAAGAAGCAAAAAUCAAAUGUAUAAUUUAUUUUACAGUCUAAGCUUCCUUUUCUUGCUGCUAUUUGGGGCUAUCAGCACAUAACCCUACAAUUAGUUCAUUUAAAAUAUAUAUAUGUAAAUAUAUUUUGAACAAUCACCGUUCAAGAAGAUGUCCCUUUGGGUAGCUAGGAAUACUGAACACUCUUACCUGCCCCUUAGCAUCCUCGGGCAUGGCUUUAAUGUGCAUUCUUUUUAAACAACGAAUUACUCCAUCAUAAAACUGAACUGUAAAUGUUCCUGAAACAGGAGCAAGUCAGAAUCAUUAGAAAAUAUAAUUCAAGUUUACAGCAACACUUGAAAUCUAACAAGUAGUGACCUGUAUAGAUAAAUGCUUAGGAAUGCAAAAACUACAAAUACUCCUGUUAAGGACUCCAUCAAGUUUAAGUUUACUUUCUCCCUCCCUCUAAAAACAACUCUGAACUCCUGUUUCCCCUAACAAGUACACAAAUUAAGUCUUGAUAAGUUAGUUCCAUGUAAUUCUGAUUUUUACUAAGAAAUUUUACAAUUUUACAAUAAUUUAAAUGUUUAGACUCAUAACAUAGCUGACAAAAGUAAAAUCAUUACUUACAAAAAUAUAUAUUUCCAUAGGCAUUAUUACCAUUUGCUCUUUGAAUGUUUCUUUCAAAAGAAGUAAUACAGAGAAGGAGCUGAUAUGCAAAAAAGAUAAUUUACCCUGGAAAGGAUUAUUCCUUGGGCAAUAACAACAAACUGGAAAAUAAGAAUUAUAGUUCUAGAUUUUAAAGCUAGAAAAUAUUUUACAAAUCAACUAGAUAAAAGUCUUCACAAAGUAGCUCAGAACACUGAACUCUAGAGGAAGGCUAAAUGCUAUACCCAAUGGCAUUCACCUAAGUGGCAGGCAGCAUGGCCAUAAUUAAUAUUUCCAAUCUCGUCUAGUCAUCCAUGUCUUUCCUACAAACUCAUCCUACUUGAAGGCCUCAAGAUUGUUUGUCUAUUAUGAAGCAUAUUCACUUUCUGUUACAGACCCCACGCUUUCAAGUCAAUAUAAACCAGUCCUAUUAGAAGAUACAUAAAUUAUGUAUAAUGCCUACUUAAGGAAAUUCAAAUGUUUUUCUGUCAUUUCCUAGAUAAAUGUUCUUCUACCAUUUCCCCAAUUAAGGCAGAAUCUCACUUUAAGUAAACAGAUACUUGGUCUUUAUAAAAGAAUUAUAAAUUAUAAACAAGAAAUAUGACGAUCAUUACUAAUGUCCUUGGGGUUGGCACCAAAGCCAAUAAUAUAUAUGUGCAAAGAUUUUUGUGGGGCGUACUUUGAAUAACACCAUGAUUUUAUAUCUUUCUAUAAUUAGCAUAAUGUUAAAUUUCACAGAUAUAAAGAUCUAAAUUCAAGUUAUACAAACAAUUGAUCAGGUGAAUAUUAAGGAUGUAUGUAAAGACACUAGAAAUAUUUUGAGAAUGCCAAACUCUGCGUACACCUUGCACUCCCAUCUUUCCUGCAACUUUCUGUCUUCCUUCUUCAACACAGCAUUCCAGAAAAACUUAGCUUGUACACCAGGCCGUCUGGGCAUCAAUACCUCUCUGCCUUUGCUCAUGCUGUUUCCUCUGUUGUGAUGCCUUUCUCCUUUCCUUAUGUAUAUCUAAACCCCACUCCACUCUUCAAGUACCAUUCCCAAGAUGAAAACUUCCCCAAUACUCCAGUACACCCUGACUGGCCCCUUUUCUUCGCUUCUAUAUGCUAUAUUACAAAUGCCUAAAUGUUCACAAUUGUUCAUUUUGGUUUGCUGUUACAUUGAAUGGACGGCUUCUUUUGCUCUUCUGAUUUUUGUCAAGGUGGGGAGGGGGCAGGACUAUCCACCACUUGGGACAUACAGAAAUCACAGUAUUAAUAGCUUUCAGAAAACAAAUAGUAUCUGCCAAUAUUUCAGUAUGUGUUCACUGAAACUACUCUUGAAAUCGCUGGGAUCACAAUCAGUAUCAUCACUCUUCCACUAAGGUAAGCUGAAUUUUCUAUAUUAAAUGCCUGUAGAUGAAAGGGAUAGAAUAAAGAAUGAGGGUGGUUUUGUUCUGAGUGUGUGUGAUAUGUGUGUACUUUCAUCUGCACACACACAGGGAACUUGAUGCAUGGAACGAAGGUCCCAAAGCUCUUAAAAGAAACUGUUAUGAAUUAAUGUAGAGGGCAAUGACCGUGUAAUUUUACUUCGUUUUGGGUACAUCCUAUUACCCAACAGAAGAGAUUUGACUUCUUCCUUUACUUCCACAAAUUGUUACUGACUGUCUACUAUGUGCUAGGCUCUGGACUAGACACUCAAGAGCCAACGUGAAUAAGACUUGGGAAUGUAAGCUCCA